CCACUACGACAUUUAAAAUGGCAGCUAAUGUCUGUGGAAACUUGGGUGUUUAGGAGCGGGCUAAAGCUAGAGUUCUCUUACUCUUUGAUUACGGGCCCCACUUUCAGAUAAAAACAUAGACCUGAAUGGCAUCAUCCAGUAUCCAAGGAAACCAUAAACUCACCCCUCCUCUCAGUGUGAGGAAGACCUCCUUGGAGUUGCCCUUGGACUAAGGAGGGUGUCUGAGUCUGUACCUGUGUGUGUUACUGGAAUAUUCACUGGGUAGCAAACAUCCGUAGACUUUUUAAUCCAAUCUGAGUCUCCCUGAAAUAGAGUCUCAAGGUGUAUGAUUAGACAGCUUUGUUUGUGUCAUUUACCUUUAUGAACA
Molecule: long non-coding RNA, 367 nt
Organism: Balaenoptera acutorostrata (minke whale)
Lineage: Eukaryota; Metazoa; Chordata; Mammalia; Artiodactyla; Balaenopteridae
Exons: 3
Source: RefSeq, a predicted model, not a curated record